AGCGAACGCUGGCGGCAGGCUUAACACAUGCAAGUCGAACGCACCCUUCGGGGUGAGUGGCAGACGGGUGAGUAACACGUGGGAACGUACCCUUCGGUUCGGAACAACUCAGGGAAACUUGAGCUAAUACCGGAUACGCCCUUCGGGGAAGGAUUUAUCGCUGAGGGAGUCGGCCCGCCGUCUGAUUAGCUAGUUGGUGAGGUAACGGCUCACCAAGGCGACGAUCAGUAGCUGGUCUGAGAGGAUGAUCAGCCACACUGGGACUGAGACACGG
Molecule: ribosomal RNA, 274 nt
Filed under: uncultured bacterium
Lineage: Bacteria
Description: partial 16S ribosomal RNA
Rfam family: Bacterial small subunit ribosomal RNA
Source: RNAcentral